CUCAGAGGGUGAGAGCCCCGUAGGUCGGUACGAGCUCCUACACGGAGUGCUCACGCAGAGUCGGGUUGUUUGGGAAUGCAGCCCCAAUUGGGUGGUAAACCCCAUCUAAGGCUAAAUACCUGUGGGAGACCGAUAGCAAAAA
This 142-nucleotide ribosomal RNA is filed under the name Cladophora liniformis. Its description in RNAcentral is "partial 28S ribosomal RNA". It matches the Rfam family "Eukaryotic large subunit ribosomal RNA", at positions 202 to 346 of the family's 3401-position model. The record is from RNAcentral. Lineage: Eukaryota; Viridiplantae; Chlorophyta; Ulvophyceae; Cladophorales; Cladophoraceae.